This 1297-nucleotide long non-coding RNA is filed under the name Helianthus annuus (common sunflower). RNAcentral's name for it is "hypothetical non coding rna". Lineage: Eukaryota; Viridiplantae; Streptophyta; Magnoliopsida; Asterales; Asteraceae. The record is from RNAcentral.
AUGCUCGAUGCACUUUGCCAGGCUGAGAUUGGUCGGAUACCCACGGUGGAUGCUCUCUCCAAAAGAAAUGUCAUGUUAAACUAAUGUUGCAUGAUAUAUACAUACAGUUUGGCAUCUGGUGAGUAAGUGGUGUAAUAUCCCGCCUUUCUUCACCUUUUCAAAUCGGGAUUAAUUAUUCGAGCUACACAAAGGCUUGAUCCAGGUCUCAACUACAAAGAAGAUCGUGCAGUGCACACAAUGGGCCAGAUACGAGACAGUUCUCAACAACAUAAAUAUUGUCCAUCAAAAUAGGUUAAUGAAAGAAGAUUAAAGGCACAACUUUCAUGUGGAUAAAACAUAGGAUGUGUAAUUUCAAGUUUUGGUUCCCUUAUGUGUCCGUAAGAUUGUGUUUGGGCAGGUUCUAGCUCCUUGUUAGUUCUCUAUUUUUCUAAGGGUGUAAGGGGUGCUCACCUAAGAGGUGAGUCCCCUCUCUUACACAUAACCAACCAAAUAGUGCCACGUCAACUCCCCUCUAAUACUCCCCUAAUACCCCUUUUUUAUGGCGGCACUCCCCUCUUAGGUGAGUUCGAUUUUUUUUUUUUUUUUUUUUUUUUGUAAAAUUAUGCAUGUUUAUAAAUUAAAUAAAAGACAUUUCAUUAAAUUUAAAAAAAAUACAUUCAAACUAGAAAAUAAAAAACACAUUCAAAGUAGAAAAUAAAAAUUACAUUAAAACUAGAAAAUUAAAAUUUUAGAAAUCGCAUGGCCACCCGUACUUGUUAGCGAUUUCGCGCUUUCGGGCGAGGAUGAACGGCAACAUACUUGGCGGAACAUCGUCGUGCGGCUUAAGGAAUGUUUUCAUAUCUCGAUCGUAAUUGUAGUUUUUCAUCGUCUCGCGUUGUUCCGAUAUGAGCUCGCGAGCCUCCGACUCUCUUUUUUUCCUCAAUUCGAUCGCCUCCAAUUCUACCGCUUGCUUCGCUUCUUUCAUGGCGGUGUACACUUUGAAUUGUGCCGCCAACUCGGCCGAGCUUCCCUCGGACGAUGUAGCUUGACGCUUGUCUCGCCGUUGUGGUCUUUGUGGCGAGGGGUCUUCGUUCAUAUCCGGUAUCGAAGGGUCCACGUCAACGGGCUUUCUUUUAUGUGCCGAACCUUCACCUUCCUCACCCAUCAAUGGGACUUGGGCCCAUUUCUCGUGUCUUCGAACGACCUCCCACGCCUUGAUGUGUUGAAAACCGUUCGGAAAUCUAUCUUUAAAUUCUUUUAACACGACUUUCAUCACGUCAAGAUCCUUACAUCCGCUUCCUCGUGUGCGAUCCUACAU